AGACCAGCCACGUCUGCAAGGAAGUAGCUAGAGCUUUCAACCCUGAAACCCACGACGAUGCGAAGCACCUCUGCCUCGACGAGCAACAUGAGCGGAAGGCCCAGAUGAAGAAGUACCUGUGAACAGCAACACAAACGGUAAAUACAUGGGUAUUGACCCCUAAACUGAGAAUGGAAUUAUAAACCACAAGUAUAUAUAAGACAUAACCUGCAGCAUGAUGAGAACUGGAAGCAAAAGAAGGACCCCGAUACGCCUCAGGUGAAGGUGGGACGACCUCGAGCGGCACCGGACUAUCAGGAGGAACUACUUCCAACGGGACAGGCUCUGCAUAGAUUGAACCAGGAUAAGUUACAACACUAGUAGCUGUAGCAAGUAAACCCAGAAGAAAAUUUGCAUAUACCUGUAGAAUGUGGCCCUGGAACCCUACAAGACAUCGGCGAUGUCUUCCUCUCUAAGUACUCCCACUGGUCAAAGAAUGGUCGAUAGAAAUCAUGACUAAUAUCCGACACACCUCUGAAGUCACCAACGGUACGAAGCACCAAAGCCAUGAUGUAUGGCUGAAACGCUAGAGGUGAGUGCACAUCCCACUUGCACUCCAGCAUUUUGUUCACCAUGCAGUCCAACAGGUUAAGCUUUUCCCCGGACAUCACAGCAGUUAUCAUCUCAUAGAAGGGCCAACCAAUGGCCUUGUCAUUAGCUCCCGCAGAAGGCACUAUUGUACGCCUCAGAAUCUCAUAAAUCAGCUUCGGAAUCCUCCUCAAGCCUCCUUGUGGACCAUACACGGAUGUCUCCUGGUAAUAGAAACCUUUGACAUCACCUGACUGCUGUUAGAAUUCUGGACUCUGAAAGAGAUGGAAGAAGAACACACACACGCUAUCUGGACACAGGAGCUUUGGUGCUGCAAGCGGCAGCGUUUUCUGUUGAUUGUAUUCACUAUAUAAGGGAAUUACAUGCUGUGUUACAAGGAAACAAAAGAACCAGCUAAUCCCGGCAUACUCAUGAUCAGAGGUUGCCAUCCCAACCUCCUGGGCCAUGCCGCAAUCCGUGGCUUGCCUCUAAUGGCUGCUGCCUUCUACAAUUAGAUGCUCAGGACUUAUUCAAACAUUCUCCUCCUAAGUCCUAGAGCUGCUAGACUAAUUUCUUCAUGCCGAUCUGUCCACGGAGCUCGAUGAACCGAGUGCGCAAGUGCUUUCGUGAGCAUGUCACCUAGUUGCAGUUCGGUGCCGACGAACUCGACGUCGAUCAGCUUUUUGUCGCAGCACUCCUGGAUGAAGUGAAACUUCACGUCGAUAUGUUUGCUCCGGUCGUGAUGCACAGGGUUCUUCAUCAAGGCGAUGGCGGACUUGUUGUCCACCAUGAGCUUGGGUGCGUGAACCACACCUCUUGUGAGCUCAGCUAGCAAUCUUGCCAGCCAAACUGCUUCACACGCGGCUGCUGCUGCCGUUAUGUACUCGGCCUCACAGGAAGAUAAGGCGACCACCUUUUGCUUCGACGAUUGCCAAGCAACCGGACCACCAGCGAGGAAGAAGAUGAGCCCGCGCUCGUGCUCUUCCGAUCAUUGACGUCGCCCGCUAAGUCGCUAUCGGAGUAUCCCACCAGUCUAGGCGCCGAUCCCCUCCUUCCAGCCGGACGGUAGUGCACACCCCAAUGCACCGUGCCCGCAACAUAGCGAAGCACUCGCCUCACAGCGGCAAGGUGCUCUUGUCUCGGUGCCUCCAUGAACCUGCUGAGGUACCCGACCAAAUAGACCAGAUCCGGUCUGGAGUUGCACAGGUACCUCAAGCUCCCAAUGAGGCUGCGGUACUCUGUGGCGUCGACGGCCGUCAUUGUGCCUUCCAUGUGGAGCUUCAGCUUCAUCUCCAUGGGCGUGGCACUAGCGUUGCAAUCGGCCAACCUGGCCUUCUCGAGGAUCUUGGUGGCGUAGGCACUUUGACGCAGUGUGAUAUCGUGGCCACCUUGAGUGACCUCGAGCCCUAGAUAGUAAGAUAGGAGCCCGAGAUCGCUCAUGCAAAAUGUGUGCAGCAUCUGCGCCUUGAACUUCUUGACGGUGUCGGCAUCACCACCCGUGAUGAUGAGGUCAUCAACAUACACGCCUACAAUCAGGCGCUCAGCUCCGCUUCCCCGGGUGUACAUCCCGUGUUCAUCCACACAGCGCGUGAACCCGAGGCCCAACAGCUCGGCGUCGAGCUUAUGGUUCAACGCCCUUGGCGCUUGGCGGAGUCCGUAGAGUGCCUUGUGGAGGCGCAUCACUUUGUUCUUGUGCUUGUCGUCGACGAAUCCCGGGGGUUGAUGAAAGUAGACUUCUUCCUGGAGCUCACCGUUCAAGAACACCGACUUGACGUCCAUGUGAUGAACGCCCCACCCGAAAUGAGCAGCUAUGGCGAGCACCAGUCUCACAGACUCGAGUCUGGCAACCGGGGCGAACACCUCUUCAAAAUCAACACCGGGACGUUGUACGUACCCUUUGGCGACGAGGCGUGCCUUGUACUUGGCGAUGUUGCCCUUCUCAUCACGCUUCCCCUUGUACACCCGUUUCAAACCGAUGGCACAGUGCCCUUUAGGGAGUUGAACCAGCGACCAGGUCUGAUUGUCACGAAUUGACUUCAUUUCCUCCUCCAUCGCACCGACCCGGUUAGGAUCCGCCUCAGCCUCAUUGAUCAAUCUGGGCUCCUCCACACUCACCGCAUAGCUGACAGUGUGGAGUUUGGCUUCAACUGCGUCGUGGUGUGCCAGUCCAGGGGCUGCAUCCGAGCCGAGGAUGUUUUCCAGCAUCCGGUAACGGUGCUCCGCUUCCUCGUCAUCGUCUGCAUCAAGGUUGGGGUCGGUUAUGAGUGGCAUUGCAAACUCGAUGCAAGUCCCUGGUGCUUGCGGUGUCAAGGGCGAAGGUGCUGCUGUCGUCGCGCUAGGUGCCGUUGGAGACACUGUGCGCGGCACCGAUGAGGCUGACGCAGAGCACGGUGUCGAUGUUGCCGGAGUUGGCGUGCGUGCCUCGGGAGAGAUGGGCUGUGGGGCCGGUCCCUCAACUUGUUGGUGCCGCAGCUUGUACUCCUCUGUGACGGUGAAGGGGUGCACGUCGAUGGUGUCCGUGGCACCUCCCUAGUCCCAGUGUGCUCCCUCGUCGAAGACGGCGUCGCGCGAGACGUGGACGCGCUCGGCGUCUGGGUUGUUGAAGCGGUAGGCCUUGGCCCCAUCUUGGUAGCCGAUGAAGACCACCUUGCGCCCGCGAUCGUUGAGCUUUCCGAGGUGUGGGCGUACGUUCUUGAUGUAGGCCACGCAUCCGAACACAUGGAGAAAGUGCACGGCGGGCUUCUUCUCGUACCACGCCUGGUAAGGGGUCUCACCGUUGAGCACGCUGGUGGGCGCCCGGUUGAGGAGAAAGAUAGCAGUAUGCACUGCCUCCACCCAGAAGUGCCCGGGCACUCCACGUGCUCGCAGGAUGCUCCUCGCUGUCGCCACGACUGUCUGGUUUCGGCGUUCCACCACGCCAUUUUGCUGUGGCGUGUAUGGAGCCGAGUGAUGACUCUUUAUCCCUUCUCCUGCAUAGUAUUCACCAAACGUGACAGAGGUGAAUUCACCUCCAUUGUCGGUCCGGAGUACCUUCAGCUUCUUGCCGGUUUCACGUUCCACUUGCGCCUAGAAUGUCAUGAUGGCCGCCGGUGUGUGUGGCGUGAUCGGGCCACAAAGGUCUCAAUGGACCAGCUUGAGCUCCUCCUGAGCUUGGUACUUGGCGGCCUUGGGGAACGACUUCCUCUUUUGUUUUGCCAGGACGCAGACCUCACAAACUUGAUCGACAUGAUCGAUCGCUGGCAGUUCGUGUACAUUGCCGCUGCGUUCAAGCUUGCGGAGUGCCUGGAAGUUGACGUGGCCAUACCUCUCGUGCCAACGCCAUGCCACAUCCCCGACACGCGUAGUGAGGCACACUGGAGCGGCGAUGUUCAUGUCGAGGAGGUAGAGCCGUCUGGGUGACCGCAGCACCUUGGCGAGUAGUUGCCGCUGCAGGUCGAAGACACGUAGGAUCCCUUCCUCGAUGACGACCUUGAAUCCUUCCUCAUCCAUCUGCUCGAGACUCACAAUGUUGGUCGUGAGCCGCGGUAUGUAGUAGACCCCAUCGAGCCGGUGGUGUUCACCGGAUUUGAGGGCGAAGAGCACAGUGCCCUUCCCCUCGAUGUCGACCAUCGACCCGUCACCAAACUUCACAAUUCCCGUGACGCUGGUGUCAAGCUCGGCGAAGAGACGGCGUGACCCCGUCAUGUGGUUCAUCGCCCCGGUAUCAAGCACCCACCGGCAAGGGGCCACCACCUCCUUCUCCUCACUGCUGAGGUGGAGGAGAACUUUGCGCUCAUGGAUGUGGAUCGGAGCCUGCGGGGAUGAGGUAGGUGAUGCCGACACGGAAAGUGGGCACGAGCGAGGCGGCGUGAUUACCUCUGUCUCUGCCACGAGGUACAUCAGGGCCCGCUCUUCUUCUUGAGCUUCAGCGACAUGAGCCGCGUUCUUCUUCUUGCCACGACAGUCUUUGGCCCAAUGGCCCCCCUUUCCGCAAUUGAGGCAGAGGGUGCCCACCGGUGGCUUCCCGCCGCCACCGUUCCCGACGGCCGUGUUCUUGCCAUCUCGGUCGUUCUGCGACGUGGAUCCCCGUCCGCGUCCACGAUCUUGGCGCCUGCCGCGGUUGCUGGAGCUCGAGCCGCCACCAGAGUUUUCCUGCUCGCGGCGUUCCUUGCGGCGGGCUUCCCAGUCUUCCUCGCACAGCACCAGGCGCCCCAUGGCGUCCGUGAUCUAUGCGGGCUUGGCGCGCUCCUCGAACACGCGGAGACGACCGAUCACCUCCUCGAUCGUCACCUUGUUCAGAUCAAGGAACAUCUCGAGGGACACCGCAUCUUGGGCUAACCGUUCUAGUACCAUUUGCAACAACUUCUUUACCACUUCGCCGUCGGUGAUGUUGUCGCCGAGGGUGCGGAGGUUGGGGGCCAGCGUCAUGAUGCGGAUGCCGAACUCGGUGACGCUCUCGCCUUCCUUGAAGGAGAGGAUGCCGAAUUCUCGGUGAAGCUGGAACCCAAUGGUAACAAACAGCUGGAACUGCCGACAUGUCCAUCGGUUGUGUUCCUUCAUCAUCAUCUCCGAAAGAAUCAGCCCUUGAUCUCUUCUCCUCCCGACGAUUGGAACCUGCACCAAACCUGCAAUGCAAGAAGAAAGAUCAAUAGAUACUAGACUUGAAUUUGGAUAACAGAUAAAACAGGUUGGAAUGAAAUAAUCAGCAAGGAACAGACACUGACGGAGUAUUCACCAAGGUCCGCGGACUGGCUGUCGAGUUUGUACAUUGCAGUGAUAAAUCAGAACGAGAGCAAAUACAAGUCCUGGAACAUUUAACCAGAGGUAACGGAACUUUCUGCCCACAGAGAUCAUCCAACCAGAAGAGAAUCAACCGCUACAAACUAGUUUUGUGGAGUGUCUGCGAAUUUUCACGGACCAUCCGCUAAAGCUACAGGCAGUGUCAGCAAGUAAACUGAACUUUUUUGAGUAACUACUAAACCAGCAGAAUAUUCCACCAGAUCUAACGGACCAUCUGUCAACCGUCGAAGACAGAAAAAUUAGAACAGUAGCCGCAAAAACUGGAUCUCUCAUAUCUUCAACAUCAAGCAGUUUGAUCUCACCAAAAAUUGCACAAAGGUAUCCAUAGAAAUUCUUUACCAAAUCCCUAAGAAUGUUUACCCCUAAAUUUAACCAAUCAAGAGAUCAAGAAAACCCUAGAUUUGGCUGAAAAGGGAAUAAAACAAAAAGAAGCAAAGGUAUUUGAUGCAUACCUUCCCCUCAUGAUUGAAGAGGCGCGUGGAAGCAUCUAGACCACGGGAAUCCACCAAAGCACGUGCACGAAGAUGGCAAGGGCACAGGCGCGGCAGUGGGGGCGAUGGCCUCGACAGAAAUAAUAGAAAAAUAGAACCCCAUCAGUCAAUGUCAGCCUAUUUAUAGAUCGUGGAGUGAAGGAGAGUCCUUUAGCGUCCGAUGAUUGGACCGGACCGUCCAUGAGUUGGCAAAAGAUGCCUCAUGACCGCGUUUUCUAUCAAGACAAAUACAAAUAUUUCAAGACAUCAAUGAUGCACAAAGCGCACCUCGUACCUUUCUCAACAGCGUGCUUAUCAAGUUCAUCUAGAAUAUUGAUCAAUUUGCCCGAAAAAAUCUAUAGAUCAAAUAAAUAUUGGAAGUGUAAAGAUGUCAAACUCAGCAAGGCCCAAGAACUUGAAACCACAAGGAUUUAUGCUGGAAGUCGUUGUCCAAAAUGUCAAGGUGAGACAAUGGAUUAUACCUUGAAUCCUGGAGAGGAAAAAGCCUCUGAGUUGUACUAUAAGAUAUAAGAUAUCAUGACAGGACACCUAUCCUUUGGAAGCUUGUCCAAUUAUACUCCUUGGACGAGCUAUAUUUUAAGGAGGGGUGGUUUUGUAACAUCCCGAAAUGUCAUUCCAAUUUGAACAUUGCCCCUAGCCCUGUGAGAACUCUAUUGGAAGCUCUAAGCCUAAGUAAUUGUUCCCUUGUGAGAUCCAUGGUUUGGUGCCUUGAGCAUGUAUAAUUGCUAUGAUUUUGCUAGCUCAUAUCUAAUAUUAGCUAGCUAAUAGUUAGCUAAUAGUUAGCUAGCUAAUAUUAUAUAUGAAAAGGUAGCUAAUAGUUAGCUAGCUAAUAUUAUAUAUGAGCUAUUAGCUAGCUAACUAUGAGCAGAUAAUAAAUCCAAGAAGGACUUUAAUUAUCUUACUGUUCAUAACUGUACAACAUGCAGUAAUUUGGCCACAGAUGCUCUGGUACAAGUCUCCAAAUGCAUCAACGAUUAUUUUAUGUAUAUAUGAAUCACUUGCCUACAUCAACAAGAAAAUAAUAAAAAACUUCAGAUUUCACCAUCUGAAAUAUUGGUCAUUAGUUGCCUACUAGUCAUGAGACUAAUGAUUGUCAAUCAAGAAUAUAACAGAUUCUGCGACGGCAAGGAAAUGACGCCUCUACUUAUGAAGUAUAUGAUCUUCAUCCAUGACACAUCUUGGCUGCAUAGGAUCUUGUCAGACGAAGCAUUUUUGUUAUCCUACCCAAUAUUUUCGGCAGAAUCUCCUUUGUAUCUUAGCCUUAUCUCCCGAUCACAGCAAGGAUAGAUAAAAGGGUUACAAGCAUUACUUACAUCGGAGAAAUUAAGCAGAUACCAUACCAAGCACACCCGAUAGUUUUGGAUGACCAAACCAGAUAGUGACAAGUUUAAAGUACCAACACUCCACUUCAAUGGAUGGACAGCACACAGACCAGAAAGUUAACCUCAGUACUCAACCAACUAAAACCAUACAGUACAGUCAUGAAGACGACCAACAUAAAGUUUAAUUUGAAGCAGAACAGACAACGCAUGAUGCCAUCUCUGCUCCCAAAGACCAACCACGUCUGCAAGGAUGUAGCUAGAGCUUUCAACCCUUAAAACCACGACGAUGCGAAGCACCUCUGUCUCGACGAGCGACACGAGCUGAAGGUCCAGACGAAGAAGUACCUGAGAACAGCAACACGAACGGUAAAUACAUGGGUAUUGAACCCUAAACUGGGAAUGGAAUUAUAAACCACAAGUAUAGGACAUAACCUGCAGCACGAUGAGAACUGGAAGCAAAAGAAGGACCCCGAUACGCCUCAGGUGAAGGUGGGACGACCUCGAGCGGCACCGGACUAUCAGGAGGAACUACUUCCAACGGG
Molecule: long non-coding RNA, 7701 nt
Filed under: Sorghum bicolor (sorghum)
Lineage: Eukaryota; Viridiplantae; Streptophyta; Magnoliopsida; Poales; Poaceae
Description: long non-coding RNA (SBIC_LNC002062)
Source: RNAcentral